CUGCCAUGUCCAUUUCAUAUCAACCUGUUCCAAAGUUUUUUUUGUGUCUCGCUUAUUUUUGAUC
This is a non-coding RNA of Caenorhabditis elegans, 64 nucleotides long. NCBI's taxonomy places the organism in Eukaryota, Metazoa, Nematoda, Chromadorea, Rhabditida, Rhabditidae. The record is from Ensembl.